AGCGUAGAGAAGAUUCUAUAGAUGGGGAGAAGGAAGCAGAGGAUAAGACUGAAGAGGGAGUUGAGCAUAGAGAGGAUUCUGUAGAUGGAGAGAAGGAAAGGGAAGUGAGAAAUGAGAACGUCAGUGAAGGGAUGGAGAGGGAGGGUACAAGGGAUAAUGUUAAUGAUGACAGAGAGAAGGGAGAGAUCAGGGAGAAUUAUAGUGAGGAUAAGGAGACUGAAGAGAGCAAAAGGAGUGAUGGUGAGGAUAAGGAGAAUGUAGAGGGAAAAGAGAUUGAAAUUGAAGAGAGCAAAGAAAGUGAAAGCAUAAACAGAGAGACUGAAGAAAGCAAGGAGAAUGAAGAGGGCAAAGAAGGUGAAAGCGAGCACAGAGAGAGAGAGAGGAAGGAGAGUGAAGAGAGCAAAGAAAGUGAAAGCGAACACAGAGGGAGUGAAGACAGCAAGGAGAAUGAAGAGAGCAAAGAAAGUGAAAGCGAGCACAGAGAAAGUGAAGAGAGGAAGGUGAAUGAAGAGAGCAAAGAAAGUGAAAGCGAACACAGAGAGAGUGAAGACAGCAAGGAGAAUGAAGAGAGAAAAGAAAGUGAAAGUGAGCACAGAGAGACUGAAGACAGCAAGGAGCACGAAAUGAGCGAAGAGACUGCAAAUGAGAAUAAAGAAAAUGCAAGUGAAGAAAAG
Molecule: long non-coding RNA, 674 nt
Filed under: Populus trichocarpa (black cottonwood)
Lineage: Eukaryota; Viridiplantae; Streptophyta; Magnoliopsida; Malpighiales; Salicaceae
Description: long non-coding RNA (PTRI_LNC001911)
Source: RNAcentral